GAUGAACGCUGGCGGCGUGCCUAACACAUGCAAGUCGAGCGAUUCUCUUCGGAGAAGAGCGGCGGACGGGUGAGUAACGCGUGGGUAACCUGCCCUGUACACACGGAUAACAUACCGAAAGGUAUGCUAAUACGAGAUAAUAUGCUUUUAUCGCAUGAUAGAAGUAUCAAAGCUUUUGCGGUACAGGAUGGACCCGCGUCUGAUUAGCUAGUUGGUAAGGUAACGGCUUACCAAGGCGACGAUCAGUAGCCGACCUGAGAGGGUGAUCGGCCACACUGGGACUGAGACACGGCCCAGACUCCUACGGGAGGCAGCAGUAGGGAAUCUUCGGCAAUGGGCGAAAGCCUGACCGAGCAACGCCGCGUGAAUGAUGAAGGCCUCGGUUGUAAAUUACUGUUAUAAGGAAGAAUAGGCUCUAGUAGGAAAUAGGCUAGAGUGUGACGGUA
This 446-nucleotide ribosomal RNA is filed under the name uncultured bacterium. RNAcentral describes it as "bacterial SSU rRNA". It matches the Rfam family "Bacterial small subunit ribosomal RNA", at positions 28 to 477 of the family's 1533-position model. The record is from RNAcentral.